This 72-nucleotide transfer RNA is filed under the name Camelus bactrianus (Bactrian camel). It matches the Rfam family "tRNA". Rfam says of the family: Transfer RNA (tRNA) molecules are approximately 80 nucleotides in length. The record is from Rfam by way of RNAcentral. Lineage: Eukaryota; Metazoa; Chordata; Mammalia; Artiodactyla; Camelidae. RNAcentral also lists the same sequence under 2 other names.
GAGGGUAUAGCUCUGUGGUAGAACACGUGCUUAGCAUGCAUGAGCUCCUGGGUUCAAUCCCCAGUAUCUCCA